CGUCUUUCUUAUCUUGGCGUUGCCCAGCCCAGUUCAGUGCACUGCAAAAAAGGGGGCACAAGGCAUGAGUGUGUGUGGAUGAGACACGGCCAUAGUCGGAUUUAGGUUCAUUCUAAAAGUGAUCUAUCUGGAUUUGGACAACGAAACAAACACCUGCCUUAAAGCAAGUAAUACGCUGAGAAUAAGCGAUUCUGUAGCUACAAAUCAAGCCGAUUUCCAAACUACCUGCAAGUUGAGUGUAACUGAGCACCUGCGAAUUUGUACAAAGUGCUUACAUGGUGCCUGGCACACACAGUCACUGCUCCAUGAAAGUGAGCCGUUUUUAUCACCAACAGCAUGUCAUGCUUCCUGACGGAAAAUCGACUUGCCGGGGUGCAGAGGGGAGGCCAAGGCAGCAGGAGCGCGCACGUGGCAGGAAGCGGACCGCUGCUGGGCACCGCAGCAGGGCUGUGGCCAUGGAAACCGCUCUCCAACUGUCUCGGGCUCCACCACGGCAACCAACGCGAAAUGUGAAAUGCGCUGCGGCUGCAGGAGCGCGCGCGGCCAGCAGAGGGCGCCCGCGCCACACCUCGCGGAGGCCUCCCCAGAGGGGCUGGAGUGGAGGCAGAGCCACAACCGGGAAGCGCACUUCAGGGAACCGCACUUAGGGUCCGAUGGGAAGGAGAAUGGAGACCAUCAGGUCGGAAGACACUCCCCCCACUAACUGAGAACUGAUGCCUGAAUUCUCCUUUUCCACCAAUGAGAUCGAAGAAACAAGUUUCUGGACAACUAGAUUCUGGCUAGGGAUGACGCACGGGGAGGGGGUCCACCAGGGCUCCUCACGUGGCAACCCGAAAUAAUCGCCCAGGCCAGGGUUUCCAGAACAACGUUCAUUUUCCGUAAUUUUCUCAUUUUCAAUAAAGGCAUAAUCUUUAAAUGUGAAA
This 923-nucleotide long non-coding RNA is filed under the name Homo sapiens (human). RNAcentral's name for it is "HSALNT0290518". Lineage: Eukaryota; Metazoa; Chordata; Mammalia; Primates; Hominidae. The record is from RNAcentral.